GAUGAACGCUGGCGGCGUGCUUAACACAUGCAAGUCGAACGGAAAGGCCCAAGCUUGCUUGGGUACUCGAGUGGCGAACGGGUGAGUAACACGUGGGUGAUCUGCCCUGCACUUCGGGAUAAGCCUGGGAAACUGGGUCUAAUACCGGAUAGGACGAUGGUUUGGAUGCCAUUGUGGAAAGUUUUUUCGGUGUGGGAUGAGCUCGCGGCCUAUCAGCUUGUUGGUGGGGUAAUGGCCUACCAAGGCGUCGACGGGUAGCCGGCCUGAGAGGGUGUACGGCCACAUUGGGCCUGGGAUACGGCCCAGACUCCUACGGGAGGCAGCAGUGGGGAAUAUUGCACAAUGGGCGAAAGCCUGAUGCAGCGACGCCGCGUGGGGGAUGACGGCCUUCGGGUUGUAAACUCCUUUCGCUAGGGACGAAGCGUUUUUGUGACGGUACCUGGAGAAGAAGCACCGGCUAACUACGUG
This 468-nucleotide ribosomal RNA is filed under the name uncultured bacterium. RNAcentral describes it as "partial 16S ribosomal RNA". It matches the Rfam family "Bacterial small subunit ribosomal RNA", at positions 28 to 507 of the family's 1533-position model. The record is from RNAcentral.